Molecule: ribosomal RNA, 466 nt
Filed under: uncultured bacterium
Lineage: Bacteria
Description: partial 16S ribosomal RNA
Rfam family: Bacterial small subunit ribosomal RNA
Source: RNAcentral
GGGGGGGGGGGGGGGGGGGGGGGGGGCGGGGGGGGCGGGCGGGAGGGGGCUUGGGGGGGUACACGAGUGGCGAACGGGUGAGUAGCACGUGAGUAACCUGCCCUCAUCUCUGGGAUAACAGUCGGAAACGGUUGCUAAUACUGGAUAUGAGCUUGCAAGGCAUCUUGUGGGUUGGAAAGAUUUUUUUGGUUGGGGAUGGACUCGCGGCCGAUCAGCUUGUUGGUGAGGUAGUGGCUCACCAAGGCUUCGACGGGUAGCCGGCCUGAGAGGGCGACCGGCCACAUUGGGACUGAGAUACGGCCCAAACUCCUACGGGAGGCAGCAGUGGGGAAUAUUGCACAAUGGACGGAAGUCUGAUGCAGCAACGCCGCGUGCGGGAUGACGGCCUUCGGGUUGUAAACCGCUUUCAAUUGUGACGAAGCUUUUUGUGACGGUAGCAGUAGAAGAAGCACCGGCUAACUACGUG